This 932-nucleotide ribosomal RNA is filed under the name uncultured bacterium. RNAcentral's name for it is "bacterial SSU rRNA". It matches the Rfam family "Bacterial small subunit ribosomal RNA", at positions 89 to 1019 of the family's 1533-position model. The record is from RNAcentral.
CGGCGACCGGCGCACUGGUGAGUAACACGUAUGCAACCUGCCCCAAUCCGGGGGAUAAGCCCGAGAAAUUGGGUCUAAUACCCCAUACGCUGACGGACCACAUGGUCUGUCAGUGAAAGAUUUAUCAGAUUGGGAUGGGCAUGCGGCGCAUUAGCUGGUUGGUGGGGUAACGGCCCACCAAGGCGACGAUGCGUAGGGGUUCUGAGAGGAAGGUCCCCCACAUUGGUACUGAGACACGGACCAAACUCCUACGGGAGGCAGCAGUGAGGAAUAUUGGUCAAUGGACGAGAGUCCGAACCAGCCAAGUCGCGUGAGGGAGGAAGGUCCUAUGGAUUGUAAACCUCUUUUGCCGGGGAGUAACAAGCGGGACGUGUCCCGCCCUGAGAGUACCCGGAGAAAAAGCAUCGGCUAACUCCGUGCCAGCAGCCGCGGUAAUACGGAGGAUGCAAGCGUUAUCCGGAUUUAUUGGGUUUAAAGGGUGCGCAGGCGGCGAGUCAAGUCAGCGGUCAAAGUGCGGAGCUCAACUCCGUAUCGCCGUUGAAACUGGUUUGCUAGAGUGCGUGCGAGGAAGGCGGAAUGCGUGGUGUAGCGGUGAAAUGCAUAGAUAUCACGCAGAACUCCGAUUGCGAAGGCAGCUUUCCAGCACGCUACUGACGCUCAUGCACGAAAGCGUGGGGAUCGAACAGGAUUAGAUACCCUGGUAGUCCACGCGGUAAACGAUGAUUACUAGAUAUUCGGGCCGAUUGGGGCCUGUGUGUCACAGCGAAAGCGUUAAGUAAUCCACCUGGGGAGUACGCCGGCAACGGUGAAACUCAAAGGAAUUGACGGGGGCCCGCACAAGCGGAGGAACAUGUGGUUUAAUUCGAUGAUACGCGAGGAACCUUACCCGGGCUCAAACGCCAAGAGACGUAACCUGAAAGGGUAUCCGCAAG